Molecule: ribosomal RNA, 323 nt
Filed under: uncultured Chloroflexota bacterium
Lineage: Bacteria; Bacillati; Chloroflexota
Description: bacterial SSU rRNA
Rfam family: Bacterial small subunit ribosomal RNA
Source: RNAcentral
GAUGAACGCUGGCGGCGUGCUUAAUACAUGCAAGUCGAACGGAGACAUUAGCAAUAAUGUUUUAGUGGCGAAACGGGUGAGUAACGCGUUGGUGACCUGCCCCGAAGAGAGGGAUAACAGUCCGAAAGGAUUGCUAAUACCCCAUGUGGUUAUUUGGAUUAGAUGCCUUAUAACUAAACGGAUUUAUUCGCUUCGGGAGGGGCCUGCGUCCCAUCAGCUAGUUGGUAGGGUAAUGGCCUACCAAGGCGAUGACGGGUAGGGGACCUGAGAGGGUGACCCCCACACUGGCACUGAAACACGGUCCAUACACCUACGGGUGGCAG